RNAcentral lists this ribosomal RNA (453 nucleotides) under uncultured Porphyromonadaceae bacterium. Its description in RNAcentral is "partial 16S ribosomal RNA". It matches the Rfam family "Bacterial small subunit ribosomal RNA", at positions 341 to 792 of the family's 1533-position model. The record is from RNAcentral. Lineage: Bacteria; Pseudomonadati; Bacteroidota; Bacteroidia; Bacteroidales; Porphyromonadaceae.
ACGGAAGGCAGCAGUGAGGAAUAUUGGUCAAUGGGCGGAAGCCUGAACCAGCCAAGUCGCGUGAAGGAUGAAGGUAUUAUGUAUUGUAAAUUUCUUUAGCAGCAGAGUAAUAAGGGGGUCGUGACCCCCGAUGCAAGUAUGCUGAAAAUAAGGAUCGGCUAACUCCGUGCCAGCAGCCGCGGUAAUACGGAGGAUCCGAGCGUUAUCCGGAUUUAUUGGGUUUAAAGGGUGCGCAGGCGGUUUUUUAAGUCAGUGGUUAAAUCGUGAGGCUCAACCUCAUCACGCCAUUGAUACUGGAAGACUUGAUUGCGGUUGAGGUUGGCGGAAUUCGUCGUGUAGCGGUGAAAUGCAUAGAUAUGACGAAGAACACCGAUUGCGUAGGCAGCUGACCAAGCCGUAAAUGACGCUCAUGCACGAAAGUGCGGGGAUCGAACAGGAUUAGAUACCCUGGUA